This 7281-nucleotide long non-coding RNA is filed under the name Nicotiana tabacum (common tobacco). RNAcentral's name for it is "long non-coding RNA (NTAB_LNC012916)". The record is from RNAcentral. Lineage: Eukaryota; Viridiplantae; Streptophyta; Magnoliopsida; Solanales; Solanaceae.
UGAGAGAAGACCAACAACCAGAGUCACUACUGAGGCGGUUUCUCAAAGUUUCUAUCAUUAAUUUAUUUGCAAUAAUAUAUUAACUUCCUUCUCUCCAGCUAAUUGGAUUAAAAAUUCUGGGUUGAAAUAUCGGAAAUAACGGGAUAGUUAGAAUUGUUUUAUAACCUCAUGUUGCUCUGUCAUCAAGAAAUUUCUAAUGAGAUCAAACAUUGACAAAUAUAUACUCCAUUACUUAUUUGCUACUUCACUUCGGGUGACACUCUUUACAGAACUUAAAGUUUUGGAAAACAAUUCACAUGUUUGACAUACGUAAAGUGCCAAAAUUACUGUAUUACUAUGGUAUCUGUUUCAAUGUAAGUAAAUCUAUUUUUUUUUAAAAUUAUCCUUUGAAAAUAUUUACAUUAUUUAUUUUUAAUGAGAAGUUUUUAUUACCCAAACAAAUUUUAUAGUAUAUUUAAGAAUAUACAUUUUAUUUUUUAUUUUUUUAACUUUAUGUCCGGCCAAAAAGAUUCACCUAAAUUAAAACCAAACCAAGGAGCAAUAAUUAUCUGAGAAAUACCAAGAAUUUCACAUGUUCCUUCAUAUUACUUUUUUCAAAUAAAAUUCAGUUUUCUUAUCAACUAAAUGGCGGAAGUGAACGAGAUAGAUGGCGAGAUGAAGUUAUUACAGUAGUUGUUUUUUUUAAAACUGUAAGUUGAGACCCCGUGAUGACGUGGUCUUAGACUGAUUAAUCAAUAUAUGAACUAAAGGAGAUUUCGAACCUUGUGUGGGGGUACGUUUUCUCAUUAAUUACCACGAAGUUGUCUUUGUCGUGGAGACUGGAGAUGGACGGUCGGAGUCUUGUCUCUAUGAGGCUCUGAGAGAGGGAGGAGAGGAUGACGGAUUGGAAAAAAAUGGUCAUAACUAUGGUCUAUGAGGAGUCUAUCAAGAUCACUUAUCUCCGUAGAUAUACGAUGGAUUAACUAUUUACUGAUGGCCAAUGGUCGAAAAUUGGACAAAUAGGUAAAUAAUUUAUUUAUUUAACUAAUUUCUAAUCCGUUAGAAACUUUUUUAUUUUUAUAAGUUUAUCAUCAUUAUUUGCCUAAUCCGUUAGAAACUGAAUAAACAAUAAUAUCGUUUUUUUCCCGACCUUGGCCAUCCAUGAUUUAGUAAAUACUACUCAGAUUAACAUAAAGAAAUAAUUUUUAGUAAGUUACAGAUUAUAAGCACUAAAUACUCAAACUUUUUGGCAAUCGUAUCAAUACGCUUUUGUUAACCUAAAGACACAUGCAUGUAUGCUUAUGUCAUUGUUACAAACGACAAGUAUGUACGGUGAUAAUUUGGAUUUAUCGAGUUAAAUACUGAAUUUGCCUCCAUUUGUCAUCUUUUAUAACAAAUUUUAUUUAUUUUUUUACAAUAAUUGGUAUCAGAGAAAUCCGAACCUUGCUCUGAUACCAAUUGUUGCGGAAGAUCGUGGGUUAACUAGCACACAAUCACACACAAAGCAAAUAGAGAAGAAAAAUCAACACAAGAAUUUAACGAGGUUCGGCUAAGCCUAAUCCUCGGGGGCAGAAGCAAAGAGAGUUUUCCACUAUAAAUGAGAAGAAAAGCACAAUACAAUCUGUAGAAUCCCCAACUAUAACCCCUAUAUAUAGAUCCCAAAUAGUCUCAAACCUAUAAGAGAAAGGUUGUUGGGUCCAUCCCAUAUGUGAAAGAAGAGAAGUUUUCUUUUGCUUUGAAAACUUCAAGCCAACCAAUUAAUACUAGAAAAGAUUUGGGCAAACUUUUGUAGUAGUGUUGAUGUCAUUACAUACAUCAUCAUGGGUAUUCUGCAACUACAAAUAGGUGCCUCUACUUUCAUUUGUAGACACACCAAAAUAAAGAGAAAGAGAGUGAUUUACAAAGUAAGAAGCAAAAUACUAUGUGAGAAAAAAUAUAGAGAGUUUGAGCGGUAUUGUAGUGAGGUAAAAAAAUCAAAAGAGGAUUAUUUUUUUUGAGUGUUUAGUGAUCUUGGAGUAUUUUACUCUGUACCAUAAAUUGUAAAAUUCUUGCUAUAAUGAAAUCAGUUGCUCCUCUCGGGCCGUGAUUUUUCUCUUAUUCAAAAGGGUUUUCCACGUAAAAAUCUCGGUGUCAUUGUUUCUCUUAUUAUUAUCGUUGGUUACAGUAUUUUAGUAAUCCACAUUUAUUAUAGUCGUAUACCGUGAAUAUUAUUUCUAUGGGGGUUGAUUUUUUCAAUAACUAGUAUCAGAGUACAAGUUCUGCUCAUGCACAGAAAUAUUAUUUACAGUCAAUUUUACUCUGUGACAAAAAAAAUGUUAGGAGUAAAGUAUGAAGUAACAAGAUUCAACGGUAAUGGCGGUUUCUCCAUAUGGCAAAGAAGGAUGAAGGGCCUGCUCUUCCAACAAGGGUUAGACAUUGCACUAGAUGGAAAAGAGGAAAAGUCGAAAACCAUGAAAGCCGAGGAAUGAACACACAUGGAUAAUAAGGCAGCUAGUGAUAUCAGACUGCACUUGUCCGAUGAAGUACUCAAUAAUGUUGGGGAUGAAAAUAGUGCAUGUGGUAUUUGAAAAAGACUAGAAAGUUUAUACAUGUCCAAAUCCUUAACAAACAAGUUAUUUUUGAGAAAGAAGUUUUAUGCCAUCCAUAUGAGUGAAGGUACAAAUUUCUUGUCCCAUUUAAAUAUGUUCAAUGGAUUAAUCACGCAACUGGCAAACCUUGGAGAAACAAUCAUUGAAAUAGAUAAGGCUAUCAUGCUUCUAAACUCGUUGCCAUCUUCCUAUGGUAAUUUGGCAACAAACAUCAUGCAUGGUAGAGAUACCAUUGAUUUAAAGGAGGUCACAUCAGCCAUCCUACUCAAUUAUAAGAUGAGGAAGAAGCCCGAAAAUCAGGGGCAGACUCUUAUCAUGGAAAACAGAGGAAGAAGUUUUUAUAGAGCAUCGAGUAACCAUGAUAAAUCCAAAGCUCGUGGAAAGUACAGGAAUCGGUCAACGGGUAGAAAUUGCUACAGUUACGGUCAACCUGGUCACUUCAAAAGAGAUUUCCCAAAGAAAGGUCAAUGGAAGAGUAGUGGCUAGAAGAAUGAUGACAACACAACUGCUGUAGUGCACAAUGAUGAUUCGGUGGUUCUCUUCGUUCACGAGGAGGAGGAAUACAUGCGCUUAGCAAGCCAAGAGUCAGAAUAGGUGGUUGAUACAUCAACUUCCUAUCAAGCCACACCGGUAAGGGAAUUCUUCUAUAGGUACAAAGCAGGAGACUUUGGAAUGGUCAAAAUGAGAAAUACCAGUCACUCAAAGAUUGUGGGAAUUAGCGACAUUUGUAUCAAGAAAAAUAUCGGAUGCACAUUAGUUUUAAAAGAUGUGCGGCACGUACCAGAUCUGCGAAUGAAUUUGGUUUCAGGGAUCGCUCUAGAUCAAGGCGGGUACGAGAACCACUUCACCAAUAGGAAGUGGAGACUCACCAAGGGAUAAUUGGUGAUUGCUAAAGGAUUUACUCCCUACACAUUGUACAAGACAACCGCUGAGAUAUGUGAAAAUGAAUUAUAUGCGGCUGUAAAUGAUACGCCAGCAGAUUUAUGGCACCAGAGAUUGGGCCAUAUGAGUGAAAAGAGACUACAGAUCCUAUCCAAAAAGUCACUCAUCUCAUUUGCAAAAGGUACAACUGUGAAUUCUUGUGAUUAUUAUUUAUUUGGAAAACAACACAAGGUAUUGUUUCAAGCAACUCAUGAAAGAAAAUCGAAUAUACUUGAUUUAGUAUAUUCUGAUGUUUGUGGUCCAAUGGAUGUAGAAUCAAUGGGAGGUAGCAAAUAUUUUUUCACAUUUAUUGAUGAUGCUUCACGAAAAUUGUGGGUUUAUUUCCUGAGAACCAAAGACCAGGUAUUUCAAGUAUUUCAGAAAUUCUAUGCUCUGGUGGAAAGGGAGACAAGUUAAAAAUUAAAGUGUCUCAGGACAGACAAUAGAAGAGAGUAUACUUCAAAGGAGUUUGAAGACUACUACUCAAGCCAUGAAAUCAGACAUGAGAAGACAGUUUCUAUAACCCCACAACACAAUGAUGUAUCUGAAAGGAUGAAUUGCACCAUUGUCGAAAAAGUGAGAAGUAUGCUCAAAAUGGCAAAACUACCUAAGUCAUUUUGGGGUGAAGCAACUCGAACAACCUAUUACUUGAUUAACAAAAGUCCAUCAGUUCCAUUGGAGUUUGACAUUCCAGAGAAAGUCUGGACCAACAAAGAGGUGUCCUACUCCCAUCUGAAAGUGUUUGAAUGUAAAGCUUUUGCACAUGUGCCGAAGGAGCAGAGAACAAAGCUGGAUGACAAAGCUAUUCCCUGCAUCUUCAUUGGUUAUGGAGACGAAUAGUUUGGCUACAGAUUGUGGGACCCAGAAAGGAAGAAGAUCAUCAGAAGUAGAGAUGUGAUCUUUAGAGAAGAUGUGGUCGGGAUUGAUAGUGAUCAAUCAACAAAGACCAAAAAUGAUAAUGGUAGAAUUACUAACUUUGUUACUACUCCUACUGUACCUGUACGUAAUCUUUCCACAAGUGAAGAAUGGCACUCGGAAGGUGUAGAUGAAGAGGUUGCUAAGCAGGGGGAGCACCCUAGUCCACAAGAGGAAGAAUGAGAGCAACAACAACAGCAACAACAAGAAGGGCAACAACCUUUGAGAAGAUCUGAAAGAGAGAAGGUAGAGUCCACAAGGUAUCCUUCUUCAGAGUAUAUCCUCGUCACUGAUGAGGGGGAGCAGGGAAUUUCAAGGAGGUGCUAUCUCAUCCGGUGGAUGGAAGCCAUGUAAGAAGAGAUGAAUUCUUUACAGAAGAAUGAUACAUACGAACUGGUUGAACUUCCAAAAGGCAAAAGACCGCUCAAGUGCAAGUGGGUCUUUAAGCUCAAGAAAGAUGGAAACGACAAGCUGGUCAGACACAAAGCUCGAUUGGUGGUAAAAGGUUUCGAACAGAAGAAAGGUAUUGAUUUUGAUGAAAUUUUCUCACCUGUUGUCAAAAUGACUUCUAUUCGAACAAUCUUGAGUUUGGCAGCUAGCCUAGAUCUUGAAGUGAAGUAGUUGUACGUGAAAAUUGUAUUUCUGCAUGGAAAUUUGGAAGAAGAGAUCUAUAUGGAGCAGCCAGAAGGUUUUGAAGUAAAGGCGAAGAAACACAUGGUGUGAAAGUUGAAAAAAGAGUCUUUAUGGGCUGAAACAAGCGCCUAGGCUGUGGUACAAGAAGUUUGACUCAUUCAUGAGAAGUCAAACGUACACAAAGACUUUUUCAGAUCCAUGUGUAUAUUAUAAGAAAUUCUCUAACAAUGACACUAUCAUCUUGUUGUUAUAUGUGGAUGACAUGUUGAUUGUAGGAAACGACAAGAAGUUGAUUGCCAAGUUGAAGGAAGAUUUGUCCAAGUCAUUUGACAUGAAAGACUUGGGUCCAGCAUGAUAAAUUCUAGGAAUGGAGAUUGUCCGAGAUAUAAGUAUUAAUAAGUUGUUGUUAUCACAACAUAAGUAUAUUGAACGUAUACUUAAACGCUUCAACCUGAUGAGUGCUAAACCAGUUAACACGCCUCUUGUUGGUCAUAUGAAGUUGAACAAGACAAUGUGUCCUACAACAAAGGAAGAUAAAGAAAGUAUGGCUAAAGUUCCAUAUUCCUCUGCCGUCGGGAGCCUGAUGUAUGCAAUGGUAUGUACCAGAUCUGAUAUUGCUCAUGUUGUCGGUAUUGUUAGCAGGUUUCUUGAUAAUCCCGAAAAAGAACAUUGAGAAGCUGUGAAGUGGACACUUAGGUAUCUAAAAGGAACCUCAGAUGAAUGCUUGUGUUUUGGGAGAUCAGAUCCAGUCUUGAAGGGCUACACGGAUACUGAUAUGGCAGUUGAUCUUGAUAAUCGUAAAUCUACUACAGGAUACCUGUUCACAUUCUCAGGGGGAGCUAUAUCAUGGCAGUCUAAAUUGCAGAAGUGUGUCGCACUCUUUACAACUGAAGCAAAGUAUAUUGCCUCUACUGAAGCUGGAAAGGAGAUGGUUUAGCUGAAACGAUUCUUUCAAGAGCUUGGAUUGCAUCAAAAGGAGUAUGUCGUCUAUUGUGACAGUCAAAGUGCAAUAGACCUGAGCAAAAACACCAUGUAUCACGCAAGGACAAAGCAUAUCGACGUGAGAUAUCACUGGAUUCGAGAAAGAAUAAAGGAUGGAUCUAUACAGGUCAAGAAGAUCCAUACAAGUGAGAAUCCUUCGGAUAUGCUGAACAAGGUGGUACCAAGAGAUAAAUUUGAGCUAUGCAAAGAACUUGUCGGCAUGCACUCAAACUAGAAACUCCGGUGUUACCUCCUUCAGGUGCAUGGGACUGGAGGGGGAGAUUUGUUGGGUCCAUCCCAUAUGUGAAAGAGAAGUUUUCUUUUGCUUUGAAAACUUCAAGCCAACAAAUUAAUACUAGAAAAGAUUUGGGAGGACUUUUGCAGUAGUGUUGAUGUCAUUACAUACAUCAUCAUGGGCAUUCUGUAACUAUAAAUAGGUGUCUCUACUUUCAUUUGUAGACACACCAAAACAAAGAAAAAGAGAGUGAUUUACAGAGUAAGAAGCAAAAUACUCAGUGAGGAAAAAUAUAAAUAGUUUGAGCGGUAUUGUAGUGAGGUGGAAAAAUCAAAAGAGGGUUAUUUCUUUUGAGUGUUUAGUGGUCUUGGAGUAUUUUAUUCGGUACCAUAAAUUAUAAAAUUCUUGUUAUAGUGAAAUCAAUUGCUCCUCUCGGACAGUGGUUUUUUCCUUAUUUAGAAGGGUUUUUCAUGUAAAAAUCUCGGUGCCCUUGUUUCUUUUAUUAUUACUGUUGGUUACAGUAUUUUAGUAAUCCGUAUUUAUUAUAGUCGUAUGCCGUGAAUAUUAUUUCUGUGGGGGUUAAUUUUCCCAACCAAGGUUUCCCAAUUUGACAAGGACUAUAGGUUUUCAUUUUCAAGUCUAUUAGGACAAUGAAUUUUCCUAAACCUAUAGGGAUUAUGAGUAUCCUAAAAAUACAAGGAAAUAAUUCAAGCCACAAAAUAACAAUAUCUAAAGUUGCUUCUCUCUAUUCUGAUUUCAAUACCGACUUCACAACCAUGGUUCAUCAACGAAAGAAUGACGUUUGAGAGAUGAAUAACAACCAGAGCCACUAGUGAGGCGGCUUCUCAAAGUUUCUAUCUUUAAUCGAUUUGCAAUAAUACAUUAACUUCCAUCUCUCCAGCUAAUUGGAUUAAAAAUUCUGGGUUGAAAUAUUGGAAUAAUGCUCAUACAUACUGUAUUUUACUAUAUAGCUAAGAAUUGUUUUACAACCUCAUGUUGCUCUGUCAUCAAGAAAUUUCUAAUGAGAUC